Molecule: small RNA, 68 nt
Filed under: Amycolatopsis xylanica
Lineage: Bacteria; Bacillati; Actinomycetota; Actinomycetes; Pseudonocardiales; Pseudonocardiaceae
Description: ASdes TB sRNA
Rfam family: ASdes TB sRNA
Source: Rfam by way of RNAcentral
AGCUCGACCGGGUCGACGGCCCUGGUCACCAGCAGGUAGUCGCGGAUGGCGAUGCCGUGACGGCCUUC